GCUUGCUCACACCUGCUUUUACUCUGUGAGUUGUACUUUUGCUUCUUCAAUAAAUCUGUGCCUUUGUUACUCCGUUCUUUUGUUGUUUUGCUUGUGCGUUUUGUUUAAUUCUUUGUUUGAAACCCCAAGAACCUGGACAACUCACAGUCAAGACCUUCCGUCCGGUAACAAAGCAACAGACCUCAGUCAUGUCAUCUGCUUACAAAGGAGCCACGAAUCAAGACCGAUUCCGUGUGCUCUUGACGAUUCUGUUACACUCCUGCAGGUUUCCAUUCCUGUGUUAUGUUCAGAGAAUGCACUGUAUUUGCAUUUGAAAUGUGCCUACUUUGACAGUUCCUAGCAAUUGGUCAGUAGGAGGCUGGAGCUUGAAAAAUGCGUAGGAGGAAGGUGAAAUAGAAUGGGAUGGCUGCAAAGAGGAAGAGGGAGUGGGAAUCCCAAGCAAUUUUCAGUUUUGCUACCACUAAGAUUCUUUUUUUGUUUGUUUGUUUUUUGUUUUUUGAGACGAAGUCUUGCUCUUGUCCCUAAGGCUGGAGUGCAAUGGCAUGAUCUCGGCUCACUGGUUCAAGCGAUUCUCCUGCCUCAGUCUCCCGAGUAGCUGGGAUUGCCACC
RNAcentral lists this long non-coding RNA (609 nucleotides) under Homo sapiens (human). Its description in RNAcentral is "non-protein coding lnc-WNK1-1:2". The record is from RNAcentral. Lineage: Eukaryota; Metazoa; Chordata; Mammalia; Primates; Hominidae.